Molecule: unclassified non-coding RNA, 342 nt
Filed under: soil metagenome
Description: partial contains 5.8S ribosomal RNA, internal transcribed spacer 2, and large subunit ribosomal RNA
Rfam family: 5.8S ribosomal RNA (bases 1-121)
Source: RNAcentral
GAUGAAGAACGUAGCGAAAUGCGAUAAGUAAUGCGAAUUGCAGAAUUUCCGUGAGUCAUCGAAUCUUUGAACGCACAUUGCGCCCACUGGUAUUCCGGUGGGCAUGCCUGUUCGAGCGUCAUUACAACCCUCGACUUCCCUAGGGAAGUCGGCGUUGGGGACCGGCAGCACACCGCCGGCCCUGAAAUGGAGUGGCGGCCCGUCCGCGGCGACCUCUGCGUAGUAAACCAACUCGCACCGGAACCCCGACGUGGCCACGCCGUAAAACACCCAACUUCUAAACGUUGACCUCGAAUCAGGUAGGACUACCCGCUGAACUUAAGCAUAUCAAUAAGCGGAGGA